Molecule: unclassified non-coding RNA, 75 nt
Filed under: Xanthomonas phaseoli pv. phaseoli
Lineage: Bacteria; Pseudomonadati; Pseudomonadota; Gammaproteobacteria; Lysobacterales; Lysobacteraceae
Description: sX4
Rfam family: Proteobacterial sRNA sX4
Source: RNAcentral
AACCCCCCCUCUCCGCCAGAUUGAGGUGAGCAGUUGUGCCAGUGCCGCGUGAGUUUCGCCGGCGGCAUUGGGGGG